UACAGAGGGGGCAAGCGUUGUUCGGAAUUACUGGGCGUAAAGGGCGCGUAGGCGGCCCGCUAAGUCGAACGUGAAAUCCCCGAGCUCAACUCGGGAACUGCGUCCGAUACUGGAAGGCUUGAAUCCGGGAGAGGGAUGCGGAAUUCCAGGUGUAGCGGUGAAAUGCGUAGAUAUCUGGAGGAACACCGGUGGCGAAGGCGGCAUCCUGGACCGGCAUUGACGCUGAGGCGCGAAAGCCAGGGGAGCAAACGGG
Molecule: ribosomal RNA, 253 nt
Filed under: uncultured bacterium
Lineage: Bacteria
Description: partial 16S ribosomal RNA
Rfam family: Bacterial small subunit ribosomal RNA
Source: RNAcentral